RNAcentral lists this ribosomal RNA (468 nucleotides) under uncultured bacterium. Its description in RNAcentral is "partial 16S ribosomal RNA". It matches the Rfam family "Bacterial small subunit ribosomal RNA", at positions 28 to 507 of the family's 1533-position model. The record is from RNAcentral.
GACGAACGCUGGCGGCGUGCUUAACACAUGCAAGUCGAACGGACAGGCCCUGCUCUUGUUGGGUGCUCGUGUGGCGAACGGGUGAGUAACACGCGAGUAACCUCCCCUUGAAUUUGUGAUAAAUUCAGGAAACUGGGGCUAAUACCGGAUAGGAGCUUCUGCUGCAUGUUGGGGGUUGGAAAGUUUCGGCGGUUGGGGAUGGACUCGCGGCGUAUCAGCUUGUUGGUGGGGUAGUGGCUUACCAAGGCUUUGACGGGUAGCCGGCCUGAGGGGGUGACCGGCCACAUUGGGACUGAGGUACGGCCCAGACUCCUACGGGAGGCAGCAGUGGGGAAUAUUGCACAAUGGGCGGAAGCCUGAUGCAGCAACGCCGCGUGCGGAAUGAUGGCCUUCGGGUUGUAAACCGCUUUCGCCGUUGACGAAGCGUGAGUGACGGUAAUGGGUAAAGAAGCACCGGCUAACUACGUG